This 301-nucleotide ribosomal RNA is filed under the name uncultured bacterium. RNAcentral describes it as "partial 16S ribosomal RNA". It matches the Rfam family "Bacterial small subunit ribosomal RNA", at positions 509 to 807 of the family's 1533-position model. The record is from RNAcentral.
CAGUCGCCGCGGGAAUACGUAGGGUGCAAGCGUUAAUCGGAAUUACUGGGCGUAAAGCGUGCGCAGGCGGUUCGGAAAGACAGAUGUGAAAUCCCCGGGCUCAACCUGGGAACUGCAUUUGUGACUGGCAAGCUAGAGUCUGGCAGAGGGGGGUGGAAUUCCGCGUGUAGCAGUGAAAUGCGUAGAUAUGCGGAGGAACACCGAUGGCGAAGGCAGCCCCCUGGGCCAACACUGACGCUCAUGCACGAAAGCGUGGGGAGCAAACAGGAUUAGAUACCCCUGUAGUCCCUGUCUCUUAUAC